CAGGAGGGGCACAAGGUGGCGCUCAACGUGUACGACCUCAGCAACGGCCUGGCGCGCCAGCUCUCCACCUCCUUCCUCGGCAAGCCCAUCGAGGCCAUCUGGCACACGGGCGUGGUGGUGUACGGCAACGAGUACUUCUUCGGGGGCGGGAUCCAGGCGGCGCCGGCGGGGGCGACGCAGUACGGCCGCCCCGCGCGGGUCGUCGACCUGGGCGUCACCCACCUGCCCCGCGAGGUCUUCGAGGACUACCUCCGCGACAUCGCGCCGCGCUACACCGCCGCCACCUACAGCCUGCUCACCCACAACUGCAACAACUUCAGCAACGAGGUCGCGCAGUUCCUCGUCGGCGCCGGGAUCCCCGACUACAUCCUCAACCUGCCCAGCGAGGUCAUGUCCAGCCCCAUGGGCGCCAUGAUCAUGCCCAUGAUCCAGAACCUCGAGGCCACGCUCAGGAACAACGCCGCGCCCCAGACCACCCAGUUCGUGCCCACGCCGGCCUCCGUCUCGGUGCCGCAGCCGCCGGCUUCGGCCGGCAAAACCCCUACUGCCAAUGCUAGUUCUACAGCCGCCGCUGCCGCUGCUAGUGCGGCGCCCGCUGGCUCUUCUUCCGAGAAAGAAGAAGAGAAGAAGGUCGAGAAGCAGACUCCGGAGAAAGCCGCCGCGCCGGCACCGCCGACUGUGGCUGACCCUCUCGGCAGCGCGAGGGGGAAGGUGCAGGAGGAGGUGAUGAGGGAGUUUGCGGCGCUCAUGGCGAGUGGCACGCUGCGGGCGAGCGAGGCGGCGGCGCUGGCCAUGCGCCGGGUCAUGGAGCGCCACGGCGACGGCGCCAGUAUGCAGGCCUAG
Molecule: ribosomal RNA, 843 nt
Filed under: Triticum aestivum (bread wheat)
Lineage: Eukaryota; Viridiplantae; Streptophyta; Magnoliopsida; Poales; Poaceae
Description: partial small subunit ribosomal RNA
Source: RNAcentral